This is a long non-coding RNA of Danio aesculapii, 3349 nucleotides long. RefSeq lists it as uncharacterized. The record is from RefSeq and is a predicted model, not a curated record. NCBI's taxonomy places the organism in Eukaryota, Metazoa, Chordata, Actinopteri, Cypriniformes, Danionidae. The transcript has 7 exons.
GUAAAUUUGCGGAGCUCCUCCCUGUAUUCAUCUGUUAGUCUCCACCUCUAGCACAGGCCUGUUCUUUACCUUCAAACACUACAGUUUGCCAGCAGACGCUCUUCGCUUUAGGCAUUCAGCGCUCAGCCUGCAGCUCUUCAUCAAAAUGUUAUCACUGAAUUAAGCUGUUUUUAUUUGGAAUUGUUUACAUAUAUAUAACUAUCUCUUUAUUUGUUUUGCAGGUCACAAAAGGAGUGCAGAUGCAGUGUAGAGGACACUUAGACCAGAGAUGAACACCUCAUAUUGCAGCAUGUGGAAACACACCAUAACUCGAAAAACUAAAAUAUCAGGAUCCUGUUGGGGAAACCCUUUCUGCAGAUUCUGAUACCCUCCAGCACACCGUUACAGCGCAGCUGGUGCAUGACCAGAGGAUUCUCCAUCGCCCCAGGAGUCUUAGUCUCAUUGGGGAUGAUGCAGCGCACAAAGUGAGGAUUGGAGAGAUGAGGUCUGGGGUGUUUUUAUGGCAGAUCACAGAGCCUCAUCUGAAUGCUCAUCUCAACAACCUGCAACUUACAUGCAAAACACCAAUGGACAAGAGAUACAACAGAUCAUUCAACAACACAACUGCGAGGGGUUUAAGAAAGAGUGUGUGUACCUGAUGACGGUGGGCAUGACUUCAGCCGUGAACAGAAUAGAGAGGGAAGCGGCCGCUUGAGACGAGAACAGACCCAUUAUGGAGAACACCUUCAUGGCUCCAUCACUCAGUCCAUGAGUCCGAGCAGGAUGAGCGAGGCCAGUCCAGUGAGGGUCAUGGCCAGCAGCAGGAUCCCCCUCCGGCCGCAGCGGUCCACCGUAGCCCACAGCAGCAGCCAGGCUCCUCCUCCAGCACACACCGAUAGCAGCAGAGGAACAGAGAGAGCGGAGCGGCUCCAGUCCCAAUCAGACCUCUCCAGGAGCCACAGCCGAGGGCCACGGCCAGCAGCAGGAGCUCACCAGAGAACAUGGUCAAACCAGAUAUCAUGGUGACCAGCAGACGCAGAGAAUGGUCACACAGCUCCAGACCUGCACACACACACACACACACACACACACACACACACACACCAAGCUCAGAUAUACACUUUCAUAUACUACUUGAGGCUCAUCAUAUCUGCAGAUCAUGAUCAACAGAUGCCAGAGUCGAUGUUUACAGUAAAAACAACACAAUCUUCAUCACAAACACACACACACACAUAUACAUAUAUAUAUAUAUAUACAGUUGAAGUCAGAAUUAUUAGCCCCCCUUUUUUCUGCCAUUUUCUGUUUAACAGAGAGCAGAUUUCUUCAACACAUUUCUAAUCAUAAUAGUUUUAAUAACUCAUCUCUAAUAACUGAUUUAUUUUAUCUUUGUCAUGAUGACAGUAAAUAAUAUUAGACUAGAUAUUCUUCAAGACACUUCUAUACAGCUUAAAGUGACAUUUAAAGGCUUAACUAGGGUAAUUAGGUUAGCUAGGCAGGUUAGGGUAAUUAGGCAAGUUAUUGUAUAAUGAUGGUUUGUUCUGUAGACUAGAGAAAAUAAAAUAUAGCUUAAAGGGGCUAAUAAUAUUGACCUUAAAAUGGCUCUUAAAAAAUUAAAAACUGCUUUUAUUCUAGUCGAAAUAAAACAAAUAAGACUUUCUCCAGAAGAAAAAAUAUUAUCAGACAUACUGUGAAAAUUUCCUUGCUCUGUUAAACAUCAUUUGGGAAAUAUUUUAAAAAGGCAAAAACAUUCAAAGGGGGGGCUAAUAAUUCUGACUUCAACUGUACACACACACACACACACACACACACACACACACACUGUAUGAUGAUCUCCAGAUGCUUUUUCUCAUUUUCUAGAACAUAUAAAUGUUACUGAUUUCACCAUGUUUGUCUAGUCGAUCUAUUACAUUAAGCAGAUUUUUAAAAUGAAAUAAUCUGAAUAUAGAUCAAAAUAUAGAUAGGAAUAAUUGAAUAUACACUCUCAGAAAACGUUGGACCAAAGAAGGUACAAACCCUUGUCACUGGGGCAGGACAUUUUUAUGGCACAGAAUUGUAUCUUAAGACAAAGAAACACAUUUGUACCAUUGCAGUUUGUACCUUUAAGGACAUGAUUUGUCCCACAAAUAACCAAAAUGUACCUUCGGAUUUUAAAACCUGCAGAUCCAAUAUUGUAUCCUUCAUCAAAGGUACAAACAUGAUAUAUGAAAGAAUAACAUCAAUCACAAGAUCUCUGUUCUGCUAAACAUUUCACAAAAAUGUUACAGAAACACAUUCUUAGAAAAAGAUCCAAAGAAAAUCGGCACACUGCCACUUUAGCUCUCAAAAACAUUUUUAAUGUCACAACGUUUCGACCAGCAUGGUCUUCAUCAGGUGAUCUGAAAUGUUGCGACAUUAAAAUUAUUUUGAGAGCUAAAGCGGCAGUGUGCCGAUUUUCUUUGGAUCUUUUUCUACCAAUGUUUGUUUUUGAUCGAGCACCUGUCUUUGAGAUUUUCUGAUGUGCGCACACUUCUGUUUUUUACAGAAACACAUUCUCCCAUCUACAAUAUGAAACAUUUCACACAAUACCUUUGAAAUCACCUAAAAGUUCAUUUGAUUUACUUAAAUUUAAAAUAGAAACAGAAUGAUGCAGAAUUAUUGUAAUGAGAUUUGCACAAUGUCUGAUUAGUUUUACAAUAGUAAAAUGUCUGCAUCAACACUUUGCAUAUGCAGGACUUUUUCCAACUCAUGUGUGCAGUGGAAAACAAACGCCAAAAGGUGCAGAUAUUCAUUCAUUCAUUCAUUCAUUUUCUUUUCAGCUUAGUCCCUUUAUUAAUCCGGGGUUGCCACAGUGGAAUGAAUCACCAACUUAUGUUUUAUGCAGCGGAUGCCCUUUCAGCCGCAACCCAUCUCUGGGAAACACCCACACACACUCAUUCACACUCAUACACUACGGACAAUUUAGCCUUCUCAAUUCACCUGUACCGCAUGUCUUUGGACUGUGGGGGAAACCGGAGCACCCAGAGGAAACCCACGCAAAGGCAGGGAGAACAUGCAAACUCCACACAGAAACGCCAACUGACCCAGCCGAGGCUCGAACCAGUGACCUUCUUGCUGUGAGGCGACAGCACUACAUACUGCGCCACUGCCUCGCCCCAAUGUGCAGAUAUUAAUAAUGGAAAUGUAUUUAUCAGAACAUGUUUACCAAAUGAUUAUUGAAAAUACCUGAAAUGUUUCGUUUACAAUACUGUACCUAUAGUGUUGUUUUACCUGUUGUUUUGUUUUAUAGAACUUAAUGUUUUGAUGAUUUAUUAUAGAAAUUAUUCAUUAAAUCACUUUGCCUUUCCAGUCAUAUUUAUUUUCAUAGAUAUUGUAAUAAAGGAGCUGUCCAACA